UCGAGUGUGGUAGGGGCAGAGGGAAUUCCCGGUGUAGCGGUGAAAUGCGUAGAUAUCGGGAAGAACACCAGUGGCGAAGGCGCUCUGCUGGGCCAUCACUGACGCUCAUGGACGAAAGCCAGGGGAGCGAAAGGGAUUAGAUACCCCUGUAGUCCUGGCCGUAAACGAUGAACACUAGGUGUCGGGGGAAUCGACCCCUCCGGUGUCGUAGCCAACGCGUUAAGUGUUCCGCCUGGGGAGUACGCACGCAAGUGUGAAACUCAAAGGAAUUGACGGGGGCCCGCACAAGCGGUGGAGUAUGUGGUUUAAUUCGAUGCAACGCGAAGAACCUUACCAGGGUUUGACAUCCUGCGAAUCUCUUGGAAACUUGAGAGUGCCUUCGGGAGCGCAGUGACAGGUGGUGCAUGGCUGUCGUCAGCUCGUGUCGUGAGAUGUUGGGUUAAGUCCCGCAACGAGCGCAACCCACGUCUUUAGUUGCCAGCAUUUAGUUGGGCACUCUAGAGAGACCGCCGGUGAUAAACCGGAGGAAGGUGUGGAUGACGUCAAGUCAUCAUGCCCCUUACAUCCUGGGCUACACACGUACUACAAUGCUACGGACAAAGGGCAGCAAGUUCGCGAGGACAAGCAAAUCCCAUAAACCGUGGCUCAGUUCAGAUCGUAGGCUGCAACUCGCCUACGUGAAGGAGGAAUCGCUAGUAAUCGCAGGUCAGCAUACUGCGGUGAAUACGUUCCCGGGCCUUGUACACACCGCCCGUCACACCAUGGAAGUUGGCCACGCCCGAAGCCGUUACUCCAACCCUUGUGGAGGAGGACGUCGAAGGUGGGGCUGAUGACUGGGGUGAAGUCGUAACAAGGUAGCCGUA
Molecule: ribosomal RNA, 863 nt
Filed under: uncultured bacterium
Lineage: Bacteria
Description: bacterial SSU rRNA
Rfam family: Bacterial small subunit ribosomal RNA
Source: RNAcentral